GGCCUUGACAUACUAAGAACUUUCCAGAGAUGGAUUGGUGCCUUCGGGAACUUAGAUACAGGUGCUGCAUGGCUGUCGUCAGCUCGUGUCGUGAGAUGUUGGGUUAAGUCCCGNAACGAGCGCAACCUUUUCCUAUUUGCCAGCGGGUCAUGCCGGGAACUUUAAGGAUACUGCCAGUGACAAACUGGAGGAAGGCGGGGACGACGUCAAGUCAUCAUGGCCCUUACGGCCAGGGCUACACACGUGCUACAAUGGUCGGUACAAAGGGUUGCUACCUCGCGAGAGGAUGCUAAUCUCAAAAAGCCGAUCGUAGUCCGGAUCGCAGUCUGCAACUCGACUGCGUGAAGUCGGAAUCGCUAGUAAUCGCGGAUCAGAAUGCCGCGGUGAAUACGUUCCCGGGCCUUGUACACACCGCCCGUCACACCAUGGGAGUUUGUUGCACCAGAAGUAGGUAGUCUAACCGCAAGGAGGACACUUACCACGGUGUGGCCGAUGACUGGGGUGAAGUCGUAACAAGGUAGGCGUAGAUGA
RNAcentral lists this ribosomal RNA (531 nucleotides) under uncultured bacterium. RNAcentral describes it as "bacterial SSU rRNA". It matches the Rfam family "Bacterial small subunit ribosomal RNA", at positions 977 to 1509 of the family's 1533-position model. The record is from RNAcentral.